Lolium rigidum is the source of this 979-nucleotide long non-coding RNA. RefSeq lists it as uncharacterized. The record is from RefSeq and is a predicted model, not a curated record. NCBI's taxonomy places the organism in Eukaryota, Viridiplantae, Streptophyta, Magnoliopsida, Poales, Poaceae. The transcript has 3 exons.
GUGGUCACACAGGUUGAGGGUGACGCCAUGCCUCUGCCACUGGAGAUGGACAACAACAAAGCCGAGCUGACGGCCAGUGAGAUCCGUACGGAAAAGGAGGAGACAGAUAGGGAUAUGAAGUGGGGAAGAAGAGAUGGUGAGGGAUUACGAAGAAAUGAACUCUGACUUCGUGCUGUAGGAUCACAUCCACAACGACCUCUUCUAAGCUAGCUACUACCUCCCCAAGAAAUGCAACAUCAAGGUUUUGCAGCCUGGUUCAGAUCUUCCGCUCAUAGAGUUUAUUCUUCCACACAGUUUGUUUAUUUUUCAUGCGGGUAUGCAACAUACAUCACAUGUCAAGUUCCAAUGGUGUCAUCAAAGGCUUUAUUUACAUGUUUUUCUCAUUUGCUAGGACAGGUUGAUCCAGGAGAUGGAUGUUAUUUGUUCGUGCUUGUGCUUUUUAUUAAGUUGAUGUUUGGGCCUAGCCUCACCAAAACUUUCUAUAUUGCAGAUUCACUCCUUUCUAUAGGUAAGUCUAUUUCUUGUGCUUGCAAUGUAUUAUUAUUUUCCUUUCAUCUGGAUCUGGAUGUACGUCUAUGACAGCAUGGCUACCAAUUGAUGUGUUAAACUGAUACUUGCCACUGCCAUUAUAAUUCAGCAUGUGUUUUGUAGUUAAGAAGUUACAAGAGUAUUUAGAUGAAAUAAAUGGUAACCUUGAAAUAAAGCUCCCUACUCGUUGGUCCAGUGGAAAUCACUUUUGAUGGAGAUAUAAUGAAUGGGUGACAUGUAAUCUCGAGUCACGGGGCUUUAAAGCAUUGUGCAAAGCAACUGAGGAAAUAGUCAUGCAGAGCUAUAUUUCAUCAUUUCAAGUUCGCCCACUAUUAGGGAAUUACAGGUUUGAAACUAAUGUGGAUGUACACUUCUUUUUCUGCAAGGACUGUACUAAAGCAAAAUCACGAUGACACUUUUUGGAUGAAGGAUUUGAUGUUCAAACUGCUAG